This 2184-nucleotide ribosomal RNA is filed under the name Triticum aestivum (bread wheat). RNAcentral describes it as "partial small subunit ribosomal RNA". The record is from RNAcentral. Lineage: Eukaryota; Viridiplantae; Streptophyta; Magnoliopsida; Poales; Poaceae.
AUGCCGUCCGCCGGGCCGUCCAUGUCGGCGGCGGAUGGGCUCCUCGCGCUGGCGGAGGAGGCCGAGCGCCGCCGCGACUUCACCACCGCCACCUCCUGCCUGGACUCGGCGCUCAGCCCGCCCCACGCCGCCUCGCUCCUCCCGCUCGCCGAGGCCCGCGCGCGGAUGCGCCUCGCCGGCCUGCUGCUCGCCCGCUCCAAGGGGCUCGCCAAUGCCAAGGCCCACCUCGAGCGCGCGCUGCUCGUCCUCAACCCGCUCCCCUCCGCUCCGCCGCGCCUCAAGCUGCUCGCGCACUCCCUCCUCGCCAACGUCUACGGCCUCCUCGGCGCCGUCCCGUCGCAGAAGCACGCGCUCCGCCGCGGCCUCAGCCUCCUCGCAUCCGCCUCCGCCUCGGGGCUUCUCCCCCCUGGCCCGGCCCUCCUCUGGACCAGUAACUUCCAGGCGCAGCUCGCCUCCGCACUCGUAGUCGACGGGGACGCUGCAUCUGCUCUCACUACUCUGUCUGCCGGGGCUGCCGCCGCCGCCGAUCUCGAGAGCCCCCAGCUCGACCUAUUCUUCGCUGCCACCGCUCUCCACGUCCAUUUACUCUGCUGGGAGGACAACGCCGCCGUUGAAGAAGCCGUCGCGCGCGUCUCCCAGCUCUGGGAUGCGCUCACGGCCGAGCAGAAGGAGCAUUGGGUUGGGCUGUUCUUCUACACGGAGCUGCUGCAGACUUUCUACCUGCUCAGGGUAUGUGACUACAAGGCUGCCUCGAAGCAUGUAGAGAGGCUGGACACCGCUGUUAAGAACGAGAUGGAGAGGGGACAUCGUAUUAAAGAGCUUGGUACUGAACUCAGUGCAGUUGAGGGAACACUAGCGCAGACCAUGUUGAAGGAGAGGGAGAGGGUGGCUCUAGCGCAUAAGCAGGGGCAGUUGAGAGCUCAGCUGCAAGCGUUGUGCGGGUAUGACACAUUGAAAGAUGUGUUAGAUUAUGGGGACAAGUUACUGUUGGCACCACCGCCGAUGCACGGAGAGUGGCUCCCGCGGACUGCGGUGUUUGUGCUGGUGGAUCUCAUGGUCGUGAUGGUCAGUCGGCCAAAAGGCAUAUUUAAGGAGUGUGGAAAGAGAAUACAUUCAGGACUACAGCUCAUCCAUGAGGAACUCUCGAAGCUUGGGAUCGUGGAUGGUGUGACAGAGGGAGAUUUGGAACACUCAACUAUAUGGACGGCCGGGUUGUACUUGAUGCUUUUACUUCAGUUUCUCGAAAACAAUGUAGCUGUAGAACUCACGAGAUCAGAAUUUGUUGAAGCCCAAGAGGCUUUAGCACAGAUGAAAAAUUGGUUUACUCGUUUCCCAACAAUUCUCCAAGGUUGUGAGAGCACAAUUGAAAUGCUAAGGGGACAGUAUGCACAUUCUGUUGGCUGCUUUGACGAGGCUGCUUUCCACUUCCUUGAAGCAUUGAAGCUGACAGAGAACAAAUCAAUGCAAUCUAUGUGCCAAGUUUAUGCGGCAGUCUCCUACAUUUGUAAGGGUGACGCGGAAUCAUCUUCAGAGGCACUAGAAUUGAUUGGUCCUGCUUACAGAACCAUGGACUCAUUUGUUGGGGUACGAGAGAAGACCUGUAUCAUUUUUGUUUACGGACUUCUACUUAUGAGGCAGCAUAAUCCACAAGAUGCACGGGUCCGCCUUGCAAGUGGUUUGAGAAUAGCGCACCAACAGUUGGGUAACAUCCAAUUGGUUUCUCAGUAUUUAACAAUAUUAGGUACAUUAGCACUUCAGUUACACGACACUGGACAAGCCAGAGAGAUCUUGAAGUCAUCGUUGACGUUAGCUAAGACACUUUAUGACAUCCCAACACAAAUCUGGAUCUUGUCGGUAUUUACAGAGUUAUAUCGAGAACUGGAAGAAAAGGAGAAUGAAAUGGAGAAUUCAGAAUAUGGAAGUAAGAAAGAGAUCGAUCUGCAGAGAAGACUGGCUGAAGCUCGUUCUCGCGCUUAUCACCAGGAGCUGGUGGAGAAAGUGAGGAUCGAAGUCGAGCCGCUGCACGACUUGUUCCAGAAGCAUAACGAUAUGUCGGGCCUGCCGGCAAAUGAUGACCUUGACAUCCCAGAAUCAGUGGGGCUGUCCACUCCGCAGCCCUCGUCUGUGAGAAGGCUGGUCGAUUCAAGCUCAGUAAGGCGCAGCACAAGGAGGCGGGUGUCGUGA